This is an RNA transcript of Triticum aestivum (bread wheat), 1860 nucleotides long. RefSeq lists it as uncharacterized. The record is from RefSeq and is a predicted model, not a curated record. The transcript has 4 exons. Lineage: Eukaryota; Viridiplantae; Streptophyta; Magnoliopsida; Poales; Poaceae.
GCUCUCUCUGUCCGCUCUCUCUCUCUCCUGCCCGAGCCACCGCCGCCGCCCCUCACCCGCACCACACCCGUUCCCGAGCCACCGCCGCCCCACGCCACCCCCGCCGUCGGCCACCCGCCCCCACUACCCCCGUACCCGCACCCACAUCUCCUCUCUGCUCUCCCGCGCCCUCGGGUUAGCCACCGCCACCGCCCUUAAUCCGGCGAGCUCCGGCAACCAUGGUCGGCGUGCAGCAUGCUACCGAGCUCACCUCGCCCUGCUGCGUCGAUUCCUCCGGCCAGAUUCGUCCCCCCCCCCCUCGAACGCUGGCGCCCAACCCAUCCCUCCGCGACUAGGGUGUGGUGCGCGGCCUCGUCUCCGCCGCCGGCAUGCCUCUGGCGGUCCUCUACGCCUCGUCGCAUGGCUCCUCAUGCGGCUGCGCCUGCUGGACGCUGCUUCUCCACCACAAGGCAGCGGCAGAGGAGGGCCUUAUCCACCACCACGCAAUGGCAGCCAAGGGGCAUUAAUUUGGUGCUUUCCGUGUCCAGAGAAAAGUAGUAGAAGGGGAUGAGGAAGGAGGAGAAAGACCAGAAGAAGGGCAAGGGAGCUUGUUGAAUACCAAUGGUGUUCUCCUCUGUUUGAUUACUAUGGCUGGUUGCUUGUUUAACUUUUGUGUGAGAAAUAAUGGAGAUCAAGUGAGGUAAUCUUGUUUCUAAAUUUAGAUACAUGCAUGUAUGUGGGGCUCUAGUUCUAAACAUAGCAGACUACUACCCUCCUAUAUGUUGUGCGAACCAGAGAGCUUCUUAAUUGAUUAACAUUUUGGAUUGGUUUAAUUUUUCUAAAAAUGGCUGCUUCUGUUGUCACACAUACACAUGCUUCUGGACAGUGCUACUAGCUAUUAUCUUUGCUAUUUUUUUUAUUUGUUUCAACCAUGUACUGCUAGUUGUGGUUGUCAAACAAAAAGAAUUGGUUUAUGAUUCAUAAUGUACAGACAUUAGCUUGUCUUUUCAAGGAGUCGGUUUGUGAUACAUGCCCACCUAUUCAUUUUACUUUCAAAGAAAAGAAUUGGCUUGUGAUUUGUUAUGCUCAGGCCUCGGGCAUUAAUUUUCACUGUCACAUGCAUGGUUUCAGAUUACCUGUGAGGUCGUCCACCGCGACUGUCACUGUGAGGUUGGUUAUUUCCCUACAAACAUUGCUCUACUGUAGCCUAGUUCGUUUCUAUGCUGCUGGUUGUGAAACCAAACUAGGUGGGGGUGUGUGUGAUGAGGUUUGGUUUAGUGCUUGAUGCCACCGGACUGUAGGUUCUUGUGUAGGACUACUUGUUAUAUAACUCUGGUUCCUGAUGAGAUCAUGUAUAUACUAGGCUAGUUGCACUUUGGUUCUAUCUAUUUCAAAUCAUAUUUGGUCAUUCAUGUUUGUAUGUGUGUGUGUGUGUGUGUGUGUGUGUGUGUGUGCGUGUGCGUGUGCGUGCGCGUGUGCGCGUGUGUGUGUGUCGUCUCUCUGCCUCUGCAUCUCUGCCUCUGUCUCUCUGCCUCUGUCUCUGUCUCUGUGUCUCUGUCUGUGUCUGUGUGUGUGUGUGAUGCAUGUGUGCUUCGAUUUGGAGCAGCAGUAGGACGACGACGAGAGGACGAGUACCUCGACGGCGACGACAACCAGGAGGAUGAACCCACCCACAAGGGCACCGACGCCGGCCAUCAGAACGACGACUCUUCGUCCUGCACCACCUCACGCUGCGACGGCUACAGGUUUGGUUCACUUCAUGGAAGGGCAGAAUGCUACUAUUUAGAUGUUUGAUGUUUGAUGUAUUGGAUGUUUGUGGAACUAUUGGAUGUUUGUGAAACUAUGUAUAUAUGAAUUGGAUGUAUGAUGUUUGAUGUUUGA